AGUGAGAGAGAGAAGACAGAGGGUUGCAAAAGGUUUCUACUUCUUUUGACUGCUUGGUUUUUGAACUUGCACAGAUGUGCUAAAGAAAUUCUAGAAACACUUGUCACUUGGGUUUGGUUGAAAGUGGAAUAAUAUUGCAUGGUUUUGAGUGGGAUUCUUGGCGUUUUCUUGGAUCCUUUUUCUUUCACUUCAACACUGAUCUCACUCUCUUUUCUUUCACCCACCAACCAAAACAAUAAGUACGUCCCUAGCUUCUAUAUAAUUACAAAAUCAUUGCCAUCAUCGAUGCUUACCGUCUCUCUCACACACAUGCAGAUUUAUGUAUGGAGCAAGGUAAGUGCAGGUUACAGUCUUCUUGGAUUGGUAAAUGUUACUGAACAACUACGAACCUGCUAGCUUUCAGAUAAAUAUCACCUAUAAGAGUGAGACAAGAAGGAGCUUUCUGGGAAUUCUACGUAUAGAGGAUAUGGAAAAUAUGGGGAAAUGUGGGAAGGAUAUCUAUCCAGCAGACCAACUACACUUUUCAGGCCAGUUCCACUCAACUAGACCUGCUGAAUUUCCAAUGGAGGAUUUGAAGUCCAAUGAAAUCAUAUAAAUAUAAUAAAAGACUGAGAGAAAGAGAGACUUACAGCAAUACGUACACUCGAAGGUAAAACCUUUGGAUCCAGAUUCAGCAUCUCUCUACUAGUUUUGGAGAUGGCAAUAAGCUCACAUUAUCCUGAUCCAACAU
RNAcentral lists this unclassified non-coding RNA (730 nucleotides) under Hevea brasiliensis (rubber tree). Lineage: Eukaryota; Viridiplantae; Streptophyta; Magnoliopsida; Malpighiales; Euphorbiaceae. The record is from RNAcentral.